RNAcentral lists this ribosomal RNA (340 nucleotides) under uncultured bacterium. RNAcentral describes it as "partial 16S ribosomal RNA". It matches the Rfam family "Bacterial small subunit ribosomal RNA", at positions 338 to 675 of the family's 1533-position model. The record is from RNAcentral.
CCUACGGGAGGCAGCAGUGAGGAAUAUUGGUCAAUGGGCGGAAGCCUGAACCAGCCAAGUAGCGUGCAGGAUGACGGCCCUACGGGUUGUAAACUGCUUUUAUACGGGAAUAACGCGCCUUACGUGUAGGUCUUUGCAUGUACCGUAUGAAUAAGGACCGGCUAAUUCCGUGCCAGCAGCCGCGGUAAUACGGAAGGUCCGGGCGUUAUCCGGAUUUAUUGGGUUUAAAGGGGGCGUAGGCCGGAUGUUAAGCGUGCUGGGAAAUGUCCGGGCUCAACCCGGGCCUUGGAGCGCGUAAUGGCGUGCCUGAGGCCGCGGAAAGCAGGGGGAAGUCGGCGGG